This 308-nucleotide ribosomal RNA is filed under the name Blastocystis sp. subtype 8. Its description in RNAcentral is "partial 18S ribosomal RNA". The record is from RNAcentral. Lineage: Eukaryota; Bigyra; Opalinata; Blastocystidae.
GUAACCCUCUUGGUGUAAAAGUAAAUUUCUUAGCUUGGAACUGCGAAUGGCUCAAUUUUUCAGUUAUAGGUUAUCCUUAUUAUUGUACUACUUGGAUACCGUAGUAAUUCUAGGAGCUUUACAUGAAUAAGUCCUCUAGACAAUGUGUGUUUAUUAAAAAUAAAACCCCAUGGCUUCCCCUUGCUAGGAGUUUAAUAGUAACCUACAUAUAUCGAUGCUUUAAUAACGCGAUGAGUCCAAGUGUUUGCCCCAUAUCCUUUCUCGGGGGGAGUAUAGGAGCCUACUGUGACAGAACGGAAUGAAAAAAA